AGAUGGAGCGGACCCCGGGGGCCGGCGCCACGGCCAAGAAAGACUCAAAGAGCGAGUGGAAAACCACCUUCACAUCCAGCAAGACCUCCUUCAGCAAAGGCAAGGUUUCGCUCCUGAGGACCAAGUACGUCAUCUCCUGGGGCAAAUCCUCCAUCUCCUGGAGCAGAUGCACGCUGGUUUUGGGGAAGAGCGGCGUGGCGUUGGGGACCACUUCCAUCACGCGCGGGGAGACCACCAGCUCCAUCACCACGCUGACCCUCACCCACGGGACUAAGAGCGUGUCGGUGGUCAGGACCACCCUCAGGAGGGGCGAGGAGACUCACAGCAACGUCUACUGGAAUUUCCACACAUGAAUCCUGUACACAGCCACUAAAAAUAAACUCUGCUCUGUGGAAGCAGCAGCAGAGGAUGAAGCAGCAGAGCCGACCGACCAGGUUGACGGUCUGAGGAGACGUCCAAGUGUGGAAAGAACAAAACAAAAAGGGAGAGAGAGAGAGAGAGAGAGAGAGAGAGAGAGAGAGAGAGAGAGAGAGAGAGAGAGAGAAUUAAUGGCUGAUGAAUAAUUCAGGGAGAAUACUUUGGGUGGAAGCCAGAUUGAAAGUGUAACUUCAGUGGGUGUGUCUCCCAGACAUCCUUCCAUCUUCCCCCUGGUCCCCCCGAGCGUCUUGGCAAGUGUUUGGUGGUCAGAGGACGUGUGGAGGGAUCAAACGUACGAGAAUCUGUCUUUGGAGGCGGAGGAAUGAGGAACUAUUCAAAUUCCUGUUAAUAUGUGGCAGAAGGUGGACGCCAUCUCAAUAAGAUGGCACCAAAUACUUAACAUAUCCAUCACAACAAUUGCUUGCCACUAUUUGGAAAGUGGUUUCAGCUCCAGUACUCAUGGUGGCGCUCAUCCCAAAGGAGCAACUGUUCACAGUAAAGAAGAGCCACGCAUCACCACCAUGCUGGUACACAGGGUUCCUCUGGAAUUGAACUUCUGCAAAUUCUUCUCCAAUAUUUUUCUAUAUUUGACAGUUUUUUUUCCAACCUCCAGCAUCUCCUCUCCUCGGACUCGUGAGGUCUCACUGCUCCUUUUUGUUUUCUAGGUCCACGCUGACGCAGCUGCUUCCCCUGGCGGCAAACACCAUGACAGAAAAUAAACAAAACCAGAAACAAAAUGCCCAAAAAUCAAUCGUGCCUCUGUUCAGUGAGAUGGAGCACAGACGAAAAGUUGCAACAACAACCACCGCCGCCCGAAGACACAACUUGUUGCUAGCGGCAACAGCAGAGCCCGGUGGAUUAGCAGUGACUGUGCAUGAUCGAUAAGAAUACAUUGGAUGUUGUCACGCUGCCUGCUAUUCUUCUUCUUCUUCCUCCUUGCAAGGCUUCUCUGCUUCCUGGUUUUUCGUGAUGUCAGCACACAACAUCUUCAUCACGGCUUUUGAAGCCCUGCGUUAUAUUCAAACAGGUCAAAUCCACCAGAGACGACAAGAGUGGAUCCCCGCAUAUUUGCAAUACAGCACUCGUGACCAUGCAAAUUUGCAAAUUUUUCAUCAAAACUUUGUUUUAUUUGUGGGCAAACCCACCAUUUUGUGCUUAUAAUCUCCAUAAUUAGGCCGUUUAUUGGUAGAAACCCAAAUGCCUGCCCUCACUCACGGUGCAACCAAACAUAACACGCGGAACUGCAGCACACGGACGAUGCAGGUAUCAAAAUAGAUGCUUACACACUAGAAUACGUACAUGCAAAACCGUACUCUUUGAUACUACUUCAUAACCCACAAGGCACGCUGAAAAGCACAUGCACAAACUUCCACAACAGGAAGUUACCUGGCAUGCCUGGCGGAUUAUAGAUUAGCAUAAAAGAGUAUUGUUUUGCACGUCUAUUAGUGUGUGAGCGUUUAGUUUGAUACCCGCAUAGUGCGUGUGCUGCUUGUGUUACAUUUUGGUUGCACCGUGAGUGACGUUUUGUGUCAAGAAGAUUUGUGUCAUGUGAGCGUCUGUGCAAAAGCCUGGCUUGAUAAUUCACUGCAAAUAAGACAGCAUUUCCUCAGUCAAAUUCAGGUCAUGUAAAGUAAAGUAAUUAGAGUGUCAAAAAUAGAGAUUUUUAUCAAUGUCUACAUUACUCGGGUGGUCUGAGAACGCAACCCCCGCAAUAACAGGGAUCAACUGGACUUACGAGACCUCCACCGAGGCCAAGAAUUACAUAUUUGGAUUAGUACCGCCUCUUCGAUAAACCAUAAUUAAGAUUUCAGCAUGAUUUAGAGGCAAAUUGAGGAAAAUGUAAUUGAAAUGGUGAACAAAAGUGUCUUUACCAUCAUGUUUGUGGCCCGCAGCCCCACACAAACCUUCCCCAAAUUCUGUCAAGUAAUAUUUACAUAACCUCUGUAGCUAACAACAAAAAACCCAAAGUUGGAACGAGACAAAAAGUGUCCCACAAAAACGGUUGGUGAUGUUAUGUUAAUAGAGAUGCAUGAUAAAACGAGAAAGCAGAUAUUGCAUGUGUUAGGUUGAAAAAUAAUGACAGUGCCUGGUGCAUUAACCCACACCACUAACGUCCGCUAAGCUAGCACGGCAUCUUGAGGCCUGAGGAAGUAGGCCACAUCCCCGAGUCCUGCACCAUCAAGACGACAGCUGAUUCGGGACCCUCGCCACCGCCGCCGGCCACUACUUGAAUCACCUCUGACCUGGAUGGCGCCGACGACGCCCUCCCUCUGAAACCUCACGACUGUCGCUCAUUAGAAGGUGGAAAGGAAAAGUGCAGUAAUCAAUACUGAUGGAAACGUGUGCAUGCUUUGUUUGUGUCUCGUCCUCGUGUACUUUCCGUCAUUAAAACAGAGUUAAAAACCCCUCUUAGGUCAGUCGCUCGUCUUUUUCUGUCUGUGCCGCUAAUCUCUGUCAUUUUGUGAGAAGUUUCUUUUCUUUUUGCACCCUUUGACUUUUUGUGUGCCUCGCUGUUUGUAGCGCUAAAAUAAAGAAGGAACGUUGGAUGUACUGGAAUAAAAGCUCUUGAUGGUGUGUCUA
Dunckerocampus dactyliophorus (ringed pipefish) is the source of this 2997-nucleotide RNA transcript. It is a transcript of the gene named zwilling, with no coding region annotated. The transcript has 2 exons. NCBI's taxonomy places the organism in Eukaryota, Metazoa, Chordata, Actinopteri, Syngnathiformes, Syngnathidae. The record is from RefSeq and is a predicted model, not a curated record.